UACGGGGGGGGUAAGCGUUGUUCGGAAUUACUGGGCGUAAAGGGCUCGUAGGCGGCCAACUAAGUCAUACGUGAAAUCCCUCAGCUUAACUGGGGAACUGCGUGUGAUACUGGAUGGCUUGGAUUUGGCAGAGGGGGGUGGAAUUCCAGGUGUAGCAGUGAAAUGCGUAGAUAUCUGGAGGAACACCGAUGGCGAAGGCAGCCCCCUGGGCUAACACUGACGCUCAUGCACGAAAGCGUGGGGAGCAAACAGG
This 253-nucleotide ribosomal RNA is filed under the name uncultured bacterium. RNAcentral's name for it is "partial 16S ribosomal RNA". It matches the Rfam family "Bacterial small subunit ribosomal RNA", at positions 524 to 776 of the family's 1533-position model. The record is from RNAcentral.